RNAcentral lists this ribosomal RNA (468 nucleotides) under uncultured bacterium. Its description in RNAcentral is "partial 16S ribosomal RNA". It matches the Rfam family "Bacterial small subunit ribosomal RNA", at positions 28 to 507 of the family's 1533-position model. The record is from RNAcentral.
GACGAACGCUGGCGGCGUGCUUAACACAUGCAAGUCGAACGGAAAGGCCCUGCUUUUGUGGGGUGCUCGAGUGGCGAACGGGUGAGUAACACGUGAGUAACCUGCCCUUGACUUUGGUAUAACUUCAGGAAACUGGGGCUACUACCGGAUAGGAGCUCCUGCUGCAUGGUGGGGGUUGGUAAGUUUCGGCGGUUGGGGAUGGACUCGCGGCUUAUCAGCUUGUUGGUGGGGUAGUGGCUUACCAAGGCUUUGACGGGUAGCAGGCCCGAGAGGGUGACCGGCGACAUUGGGACUGAGAUACGGCCCAGACUCCUACGGGAGGCAGCAGUGAGGAAUAUUGCACAAUGGGCGGAAGCCUGAUGCAGCAACGCCGCGUGCGGGAUGACGGCCUUCGGGUUGGAAACCGCUUUCGCCUGUGACGAAGCGUGAGUGACGGUAAUGGGCAAAGAAGCACCGGCUAACUACGUG